GUGCUCUGGUUCCAGGUGCCCCGGGGUGUGGGUGACACGGAAGCCACCUGUGUCUGGGCCGCCUCAGGUGCUGGGCAAAGGCAGCUGUGGGCAGGAUGGGAUUCCAUCCUGAGGGUCUCUCAGGGCAGUGAGAAACCCACAACCUUGCUGCCUCCUCCUGGGCACUGCUUGUGGGGCCCUGGGGGUCUUGGUGCUGGGGGGCUGAGCCGGAGCAACUCUCAGUGUCACACUCAGCUCUGAUGGCCUGUCGGGGACAGAGUUGUCCAAGAGGAGGGACAGAAAGAAGUCACUACCUGGGUCACUGAGCUGCUCAGGCUGGGCUCCAACUUGCCAUCAUCCUGCUCAGCCUCCCAGAGUGCUGGGAUCACAGGCGUGCCCUGCCACACUCUGCUGGGGAAGGCCUUUUCUUAAGCAUAGGGCUAGUUUUUUGGUUCCUUGUACUCACUUAAUCAUUACCAUCUGUGCAAACAAAAAAGUUGUACAUAUAAUUGUUUAUGGUGUGUUUAGAAGGGCGGUGGAGUUUAGUAAACACUAAGGACAGCCGCGAAUAUUUCACUGUGGCCUUCGACCCUAGUGGUGCAGCCGGCACUUGGCACUGUUUGUCACAGUGAAUUAGAUGACUUCAGUGAAUUCUGCAACGAGUGUCUUGCGGUGUAAGCCUUGGGCCUCCAUCCCCGGCAGUUUUCAGACCCCACAGGCGCUGCUCCUGGACCCUGCAGAGCUGUGGGUGAGGCCCAGGUGCUGGCUUGGGACAGCACACGUUUGGAAGGUUCUGGAAGUUUCUGGACAGCCUCCUAGGGCGCGACCUCCCAGGGCUUCUUCCGCUGCCCUGACACUGCACGAUGAUCGCCUGGACCAGGAGACCCACAGCGACUGCAGGGGUCAGAGAAGGCAAGCCAGACUCAGUUUCCCCAGCUACAGCCCUGCAACACAGCACCUGACGCCAGGUGUGAGGCUCCAGCCACACCGAGCAGCACGCAGUUCCACAGGGCAUCUCUGGUAAUCCAGUCAAACACAGUCCACCUGCAGGGGGGUCCCGAGAUGUGCCCUCAGAUGCUCGUAGCUUCACCUGUGCCUUUUAACCUUUGGUUAUAAAUCAGGGCUCCCAGAACCCAUCCUGGUGCAGCUGGGUUGCUUGAGCAGCUCCAGAACCCAGGAAGCACCAUCCACAGUGGGAGUUUGCAGGACACACGUGCAGGGGACAGCGCCAAGCACUAGGCUCUGUCCAGCACCACUUCCAGUGACCUCAGG
This 1251-nucleotide long non-coding RNA is filed under the name Heterocephalus glaber (naked mole-rat). Its description in RNAcentral is "lncRNA (ENSHGLG00100048621.1)". The record is from RNAcentral. Lineage: Eukaryota; Metazoa; Chordata; Mammalia; Rodentia; Bathyergidae.